Molecule: ribosomal RNA, 497 nt
Filed under: Cryptosporidium cf. macropodum
Lineage: Eukaryota; Apicomplexa; Conoidasida; Eucoccidiorida; Cryptosporidiidae
Description: SSU rRNA
Rfam family: Eukaryotic small subunit ribosomal RNA
Source: RNAcentral
GGGGAAUUAGGGUUCGAUUCCGGAGAGGGAGCCUGAGAAACGGCUACCACAUCUAAGGAAGGCAGCAGGCGCGCAAAUUACCCAAUCCUAAUACAGGGAGGUAGUGACAAGAAAUAACAAUACAGAACUAUUUAUAGUUUUGUAAUUGGAAUGAGUUAAGUAUAAACCCCUUUACAAGUAUCAAUUGGAGGGCAAGUCUGGUGCCAGCAGCCGCGGUAAUUCCAGCUCCAAUAGCGUAUAUUAAAGUUGUUGCAGUUAAAAAGCUCGUAGUUGGAUUUCUGUUAAUUUUCUAUAUAUAAUAUUUUUAAUAUUUAUAUAGUAUUAACAUAAUUCAUAUUACUUAUUUUAAGUAUAUGAAAUUUUACUUUGAGAAAAUUAGAGUGCUUAAAGCAGGCAAUUGCCUUGAAUACUCCAGCAUGGAAUAAUACAAAAGAUUUUUAUCUUUUUUAUUGGUUCUAAGAUAAAAAUAAUGAUUAAUAGGGACAGUUGGGGGCAUU